Molecule: ribosomal RNA, 253 nt
Filed under: uncultured bacterium
Lineage: Bacteria
Description: partial 16S ribosomal RNA
Rfam family: Bacterial small subunit ribosomal RNA
Source: RNAcentral
UACGGGGGGUGCGAGCGUUGUCCGGAAUCACUGGGCGUAAAGGGCGCGUAGGUGGUUUGAUAAGGGUGUGGUGAAAGCCCGGGGCUCAACCCCGGGUCUGCCGUGCCGACUGUCAAACUCGAGGGCUGUAGAGGCAGACGGAAUUCCGGGUGUAGCGGUGGAAUGCGUAGAGAUCCGGAGGAACACCAGAGGCGAAGGCGGCCUACUGGGUCAGUACUGACGCUGAGCCGCGAAAGCCAGGGGAGCGAACGGG